AGCACCCCUCCCAGGAAAUACCAUGGGCUCAGAAAAAUUUACUGCACAGUAACAUAGCAGUGUUCCAUGGGAGUGCUCCCACAACAGAUGGAACCAUAAUUCAUACUGUGUGUUCAAACAAAGGAGCAAGGAACUCUUGCACUUCACUCCUGGAAAAAGCACUGCAAAGUAUAUUUUCCCGUGUGUCUAACAGGUAAAGGCUGAUUCUGCCUGCUGUACUCUUCCAGAGGCCUGGACUGAGAGAAUAUUUCCUAAAGCAUCCCUGCAAGUGUCCAAGGCCAGGCUGGAUGGGGCCCUGUGCAGCCUGGCCUUGCACAUGAAGAGGGGUUAGGAACUAGAUGAUCUUUAAGGUCCUUUCCAACCCAAACUAUUCUAUGAUUCUGUGAAAGCAUCACACACAUGGAGUGCUAACCCUCCUUUCCCCCGAGCAAACAAAAGCUGUUUGCUAUUCUGGAAGAAAAAAAACCAAAAACAACAACAAACCAAACAAACAGAACAAAACAAUCAGAUGGAAAGAAUCUGAAAUAUUCAUAUAAUGGUUGACUUACAAGAGGCAAUGUAAAGAGGAGCUUUAUGUUAGACAAAACUCAGCCACAUGGAAACUAAAAUAUUGGGUCACUACCCUCAAGUCCGGUCUAAAACAGUCCCUGAGUCUCUAAACACAACCCUAAAAAACAUCCUGUGCUGCACCUCAGCUGUCAUUCUGUACAACAGGGCCAGGUUUUCUUCCAGGAACACCAGGUCCAGAGGCCAGGAGGCUCUUGUUGUAUUUGCACAUACUAGUCCCUUUUGUUGGGGGAUUUAGGUCACAAGAGCGUAGGAAAGGCAGCUCUGAAUCACCUGGCUCUUGCACGUGUUGCUUGCACGUUGUGCAAAUGUUUCUGAACUCAACCUCAUUUCAAGACACACCCUUUGUUUGUUACUUUCUCUUAGGGCUUUUUCGCAACCCCAUCCACUGCCAACACAAACAAGGUUGCAACAUCUCCCUCCAGUCUGUCUUCCUCUGCUCUGCUCUAAAUGUCAACCAGCCACAUAGCACUGCUCACUUGCUUAAUUGGGCAAAAUACCUGCUCUGGAUGCCCUGUGCCUUGACUGCCUCCGGGAGAAAGUUUCUUGGGAAUGGUGUGACUCAUUGCACAGCCAGAGGUUAUAAUGAAGUAUCCCACUCAUCCUUUAGCUCGCCCUUUGUUGAAGACAAUGCAGAUUGCGGAAGGUUUCUGAGGAGGAGUAUCUGGGAUGAGCUGCUGGGAAGAAGGGAGAAGGAGCACAGUUCUAUUGGAAAGAAUAUCUUGCUGCUGAUUAUGAAAAUGAUGUGGAAGUCAUGGGCUGAAUUAAAUAUUUUUCCAUAUUGGAAAAUUGAUGGGAAUGCUCCCUGGUAUCAACAGCUCAUGUGAAGCAGAGGAAGAGAUCUUUUUAUUACAGAAGAGGAGUGCCAAAAUCCAGAGCUAUUCUGAAUCAAUUUGCUCUUUUAAUUAUCUUGUACAGACGUCUGUCUGUGCAGCAGAAAUGCUGAGCUCAUGCUACAUGAAAACAAACCACAUAAACUUGAGGAGAUACAAACACAAUUUGUUCCUAACAGAAGGCACUUACAAAGCCACACACCUCAGUGUCCUGGCAACUCCCUCCCCAGAGGGAAAGAUGCAUGUCCUAUGUCCAGUCUGAGUACCCUGGAGCAGUGAAAGGCAGGGGCAGAGCUACUGGGGUUCUUGUUUUUUUUAAAGCUGCAACAUGGAGCUGUGGUAAUGCCAAACGUGUCCCUGGUCUGCUCUGUCUCACUGCUGGGGGGAAGGAACUGUGACUCAAAGGCUGUCCACUGGCAACACAGAAAACUAAACCAAGAGCACUGGUUCAGCUCUGCCAUAUCCAAUUUCUGUCAAGUAUAGAAUAAUAGCUACCCAGCGAGCUGGGACAUGCUUCACCAGCAUCAAUAGAGUUGUGCUUCAGCGCAUCCCUCGAGGUAGCAAAGAAUUAUCCCCAUUUUAUAAAUGAGGUAACUCAGGCACAGGGAUUAAAGCCAGAAUGUUCCAAACUGGCUGCCUACUGCUAGGUACCUACACCCAUAUUUACGCAACUCGUGGCCUGAUUUUCAGAAGGGCAGGGCAAUGAAAAUUUUGGCCUGAGGGAUUUGUUCACACACAGUUUACUGGUAGCAACGCCCAGGAUGGAAACCUGGUCUCUGCUACCUGUCUUGAGCCUUAACCACUGAAAACAUCCUUUCUACCACUAGCCAAGAGUUGGUGAAGGCUCCUGACUGUCCCUGUUUGCAAUGCAGAGAUUCAGAGUUAGCAAUGCAGGCUGGCUGCCUACGUGCUCUCAGCUAGAGACUUUUAAAGAGCAACAGCAGGAGUAAAACUGGUGAGAUUUCUUUGUUUCCUCCUCAGCUCUUCAGAGCCCAGGCAGCUUUGCUUGACUUGCAGUGCUUUGUUACCCACCAGCACGUCUGGUGUGUAAACCUCUGUUCUGCCUCACACAUGGCAUCAUCUCCCCCUCUGUCCCUUCACCAUGUCCUGCUCAGGACACCUCAGCCUGGCAGAGCACAGAUCCAGUGCAGAACCCGUAACAGAUCCAUAAGAGAAGUAAGAAAACUGGCCAGAUGGAUAUCUGAACUCCUCAAAAGCACAAGUACCAACAGGAACAAGUUAAUCCCAGUGCCCCCUCACCUUUCUUCUACACUCUCUUUCUGGUCUUUACUUGGCCUCAGAAAUAGCCCUGAUUUAUUGGAAAGUCUUGAGAAGCAAGAAAAUGUAGUAAAAAACCUAAUCCCACACUAUAAACUAGCAAAACCCAGGAGGCAGAGCACUUGCUGGCCGGCUACAAUAGAGCUUUGCAAGUGUCCCUGUUAAAAUCAUCCCUGCUAGGGGCUAAUGUGAUGCUUGUCUUAGCUUGUUAGAGAGCCUUGCUGUCUUUAGACACGUACUUGAAAAACAGCACUGCUGGUUGGUUGCUACCUGAGGGAAGAAGGACAAAGGAUCUCAGCUGUCUCUGUGGAAUGGUCACUGGUCAGGUCACCUCAAGCCUGACCUGCAAUACCAAGUGCAUGCUGCAAAUCCAUUGCUGUCAGCCCUUGUGCUUUGUCUCAUCGAUGGAGUCCCAGCCACCUCUGACCUCUUCUUUCCCUUCCUUCAGGCCAUGUCCUGCUCACAGGGCUCCUGCUCAGCUGCUCUGCAGCUUCCCCCCACCCGGAGGGAGGACAGGCGAGAGGAGGUGACAACCCUCAGCAAAGGUUAAGGCUGGAAAAGAAGGAAGUGUCAGCUCAAUCAGGUCAGCUCAGCCAACAACUGCUGCUGUAAUCCCUCUGCCUCAGGUCCCUGUGCUGCUCUGCUCAUGCUCUGGACGCUGCUGUAUGAGCAGCAGCCUUGUCCCCAUGGUACUGUCAGCCUGCACCAUCCAGACAGGGAGAUGGGGAAAAGGGGUAAAGAGGAAGCAGCUGAUCAUGAGAAUCUCCUAGAACUGUUUCCAGAUCCUCCUUUUGCAGUGUGUUUUGGGAGCAUGGAUUUUGAGAUGGACUUUACUCCUACUGAAGUUGGGAAGUCCAGACUCAGCACCCUCUGAUUUCUCCAGAAGAAGGCUGAAAGCUAGAUCUAAAUCAAUUCUUAUGCUGCAGCUCAUCUCCAUACUCACAGCAAACCCAGAAGCUUUGAGAAGCUGGCAGUGACAUGGCCCCAGUUCCUUCUGCCCAGGUCUAAGGUACCUCUUUUGGGAUGGGAACAACUGAGUCUCACCCAUCUGUCAGCAACCAGGAGGAAGCCAGGGAACAAAUGCCUCCUAUUCAAUAAAAGUUGGUGCUGCACUUUAUACAGCAACCAGUGCUAUUGGUGGUGAAAACAAAUCCUAUUCUUCUCUGCCAGAUAAACACACUUUAUCCUAUAAAGAGCAGCAUUUCUGACUGUUCAGCAGCAGCCAAACUCACUAUGGGAAAAAUAACAGGUGUUUGUAAGACACUCCCUGUUUAUUCACAGUGCCUAAAAUAAUUGCUUAAAAAAAUCCAACAGAGAUUUAAUUUUCUAUGCUCCCACAUUUAAAAAAACAAAAACAAAAAAAACCCCUAAGCUUGGCUCAUGGUAGUUGAAGGCAAUUCAUUAUGAAAGGGGUGUUCUUUCUGUUGUGGUAGCAAAGAAACCUACUUAUGAAAGCUCCUGAGGAGCAGAAUAGCAAAGCAAAUUCCUGCCUAGAACCAGUACUUCCCUCUGCUUCUCAUUAAGCCCUCCAGGUGGAAGCUUUUAUUAUCAAAACAUGUGAUUUUAUUGUCAAAAUGAGAUGAGCAGGGAUUAAGCUCCUCCAGUGGGUGCCCAUCAUUGACCAUCUCCAAUAUUGCCUUUUGUAAGGCAACAAUGGCCUUGGGCUGGCUUAUGCCCUUCCCUCUUGUUCUGGUGGUGGAACAGGAGAUAAAUGCACUGCUCCAGUGGGAAAAGUGUGUCUCAGAGGCACAAACCUUUCUCCAAUCCCUGCUUGCUUCUCCGGGAAAUAGCUGGCAGUGGAUCUUGAUCAAUAGAGCACUUUCCAGCGUGAUGGGCUGACACACGGUGCUGCAGGAGGAGGACAGACACUCCCUGUCUCCAUCCACUCUCCCCAUGCUUACAGCAUGGAUGGGGACAUCCCUGAGCCACUCAGCGGGUGAGGGGACACCCAGUGCACAGCUGCUGGUGGUAUUUGAUCCUUGUGGUGGUGGAUAAAGUCCCUGCAGGAGCCACUCAGGAGAAUGUAGCAUCAUUCCUGAGGGCUGCAAGCUUCAUGAGACAACGAUUACAGUGCUCCUCUGUCCUCAGGACUUUCCCUUCCCUUUCCCAGGGUACAGCUCUCCUUGAGUCCAGCCCCUCGCAAGCUUUUGGGAUAAGUCACAGAUGCUCGGUAGCUCCCUGGGAACCUGGAGAGAGCCUGGAGCAAUAGGAGCCCACCUAGCAGCACCCCAGCGCUGUCCCAACCCCCAGAUGCUGCUCCUGGUGGCUCCUGGACUGCAGUCCAGGUCACGGGUGGGUGCAGACACAGCCUGCCCCUUGCCGGGGAACAUGGGACCUAGACAACCUAUUGCUGGGAGUAAAACACAGCCACAUUUUAGACUUUGCUGCUCCUACAAAAGUGCAGGAAGGCUUACACAACCCAAACCGGCUUUCUGGGGGGGCUCACUUGUCUCUGAGCAGUGGACACGAGAGGCAGAUGGGGUUUGUGCAGACAGGGGCUGAGCAGGGCUCACGGCGGUGGGUAUCGUCUGUGCUAGGCUGCACUCCCAGCUGAGACCGGGCUGUCGCGGCUCCUCACACACAGCGGCCUCCGGCCUGAGCAAAAGAGACAGAUAAAGCCAGAAAAAGAAACAGAGGCGCAGGGGAGAGCGGUCAUUUCCCAGGGGUUAGGCAAGGGAGCGGCGUGGGUCGGUGUGGGGCAGGGCAGGGUGCCACCGGCAGGGAUGCAGCAGCGACGUGCGCCCUGCACAGGGAUGGGCAGGGAGCAGCCCCGAAAGGGCAGCCCCGCAGGCAGAGAGGAGAGGAUGAAAGGAGGCGGCUGCAGCGCGUAGCGGGGCAGGAUGAAAGGGCUCAGAGGCCGGAGGAGCAGAGAGACGGCAGUGACUCAAAAAGCAGAGCCAGAGGCAGCGGCGCACGGAGCCGCUCCGCGUUAGGCACAAAGGAGCGCGGCAGCAGAGCGCGGGGUCCGAGAGCAGCCCCGAGAUCAAACCAAACCCAUCCCAGAGAGACUGGAGGUGUCUGAGCAAUAAAGGAGCUCACACUGCUCCAGCGCCGGCAGCUCGGGGCAUGCAGGGCAAGGCAGGGCUUUGUGCACACAAAUGAAGCACAGCAGAGUCCUCUGUACCGGCCUGGGCAAACAGCACGGGGAUGGGAAAGAUGGAUAGGAUAGGAUAGGAUAGGAUAGGAUAGGAUAGGAUAGGAUAGGAUAGGAUAGGAUAGGAUAGGAUAGGAUAGGAUAGGAUAGGAUAGGAUAGGAUAGGAUAGGAUAGGAUAGGAUAGGAUAGGAUAGGAUAGGAUAGGAUAGGAUAGGAUAGGAUAGGAUAGGAUAGGAUAGGAUAGGAUAGGAUAGGAUAGGAUAGGAUAGAAUAGAAUAGAAUAGAAUAGAAUAGAAUAGAAUAGAAUAGAAUAGAAUAGAAUAGAAUAGAAUAGAAUAGAAUAGUUAAGAUUGUAAAGGACCUCUAAAGUCACUGAGUUCAACCAUUAACCUGACACUGCCAGAUCUGCCACUAAACCAUGUCCCUAAGCAGCAUUACUAUGCAUUUUCUGAUUACUUUUCAGGACAGUGAUUCCACCACUUCCCUGAGCAGCCUGUUUCAAUAUUUGACAACCCUUUCGGUGAAGAAACUUUUCUUGCUAUCCAAUCUAAAUCUCCCCUGGAGCAACUUAAAGCCAUUUCCUCUUGACCUAUCAUUUGUCACCUGAGAGAAAAAAAUUGACCCUCACCUGUCUACAACAUUCAGUUAUUGUAGGGAGCAAUAAAGUCCCCCCAAACUUCCUUUCUUUCAGACUAAACAACCCCAGCUCCAUCAGCUCCUCCUUCUUAGAUUUGUGCUCCACUAAGACAAGUGCUUCUCCAGACAACAAGAAGCAGCAAAUGCCCUUUUUUAGGCAGGAUCUUAGAGAAAAAAUCUAGACUUGAAGCUUGUACCUUUUCUUUGGUGCCUGUCAGGCACCAAAACCCAUGAAACCUUAUUCAAGAAGGUAAAACCCACACAAAGUGGCAUUUCCAAGGUACCCAGUGCCUUUAGCUCCGGAUCAAUCUGUCAGCAUGCCCCUGGGGCACAUCUACGUGCCUUUCCUCCUUUGCCAGGCAGGCAGUGACUGACCCUGUGCAACAUUUCACCUCCACUGGAGCGAUUCUGGUGACUCAGCGCUUCCCCUGCAAGCCACUGCGAGGGCCCUGCUCCAGUGAGGGGAUUGUAGCAGCAACCCAAGCACAAUAAUGGUGUGGCUGAGCAGCAGGGAUUUAUUUAUGAGCAGGCAAGGAAAGUGAGAGUUAUAGGUGGCCAGUCCCUAUGACAGAACCACCAUAUAUUUCCUCCAACAAAGCGUGUGACAACAGCUCCAUAAAUUCACAUAGUAACAGAAGCGAGCGCCAGCUCAUCAUUGCAGCUAUUUAAGGAGCCAAGUAGCACUCUGUGCUUAUUGCAGAAGUUCACAGUUAGUUAAAAAUAAGCAUUAAAAAAGUCACUUUUGGGCCCUGGCUGAAUAAGGCUUUUUAUUCACGAUGCCCAGCAUUGCGUUCUGUCUCUUCUCCUUUUAUGCCUACACAGACUUUCUGGCAGAAUUUCGUGUUAGGCACUGUCAGCUUCCUUCUGAAGGAGCUUAACUUAGGAUGUGCCAUAAUCAAUUGUAAAACUUAGCAGUGACUAUGAAAUACUUGAUCCUUUUCAAUACCAGCAGAUCUCAGAUGUGCUUUAAAAAUUCUUUAGCUCCAGCCCAUUAAAUAUCUAAGGAGAGCUUCCUUGAGAUGGAAUUGCUGAAGAGAAUAACCCCGAGAUCCACAACAUGCUGAAUAGGUUUUUUUAAUGCUGUCUCAUGAUCAGAUUAUUUGCAGUACCUGUCAGCUAAUGUGCUGUUUUCAUUGCUAAUGUAACACUUCUUCCUAAAGGGAGAAGGGGGAGAGGGUGAAAACAACUCUUCACAGUGAACUGGAAAUCAAAAAAUAGCUGUGUGUUUUGUUGUCACUUCUGCUACUCUCUUUUCUGACGUAUAAAGAAAAGCUCACUUUAAUAUGACUAACUCUCCUUUAAACAUGAGAAAUACCAAGUUUCUCUGAAUCCCAUGGCUUUUAUUCUUUUUUCUUGAAGCUUUAGGCAAAAUUUGAAAGAGACAUCUCAGCUAGAAAGAAAAGUUGGAACUUUCUUAGGUUAAGGCUUAACUCCAGCAGUGAUUGGAAUGUAAUCUCCCUAUAAGAAAAAAAAUUGGCAUCUCAGGGAAAAAAACUGAAAGAUAAGAAAUGGAAAUUAAGGCUUGCUGUCUGGGAAGCUGGAGCUCUAGGGCCCCAUUCUCCCCCAGAGCCUGCUGUCCUGCUCAGACUUGGUUUUCCAUGAGCACCUGGCACUCCUGCCCAUUUAUCCCCUUUUCUUGGGAGCCUUUCCUGAAGUCAGGACAACAGGUUGGAAACCUGUCCUUGGAGUCUGAUGAGGACUUGGUGUGUGUGCAGUAAAAAUUUGCCAAGGCAUAUCCUAUGACAUUUUCCCAUGGUCAAAAUUAUUCAGAUUAGGAAGAGAGAGGAGAUUCUUGUUUGGUUGGUUUAGUUAGAAGGUGAUGUUUUGUACAGAAAUGACAUAACUUUGGAGGGAAAAAAAUAAGGUUACCCAAGAGCCAGUUUAAAAGAAAAGUGUUGAAUGGAAAAUUUUCAGCCAGCCCCACACAGAUCCCUUCUUUAUCUCUAGGAUUGGAAAAGCUGCUGAGCUGCUGCUCUGCUCUCUGUGGUAGCUGGUGUCACGUUGCACGCUCCUCCAAGGGUAGCAGAUUGCUUAUGCAUUAGUUCUUUUGCAUAAUACCAGCAAUUAUAGUGGGUUUGGGUGUUUGAGGGUUUUUUAUACACACAUUGUUUGCUGCUAACAAACUCAGGAAGGAAAUUUACGGUCUUGAAUGGGGAGUGAGGUCUGUGAGACGUCCCCGGCAGGACUGAGCUGCUGAACCUUGCAGUGACUCAGCCAGCACAGGAAACGUUUGUUCUGAGCAGCCCCAUCUCCUGUCCCCCUCUGCUCCAUGCACAAGGUUUAUAAACAGGCCAUGGUAGUUUCUUUUAAUUCUGCUUUUGGGGUUGUUUUUCAUUCUUUUUCUUGGAGUGUUUCAUUGCUUUCUGUGUACAAGGUUAUUUAUUAGAAAUAAACAACAUUAAAUGGACAACGUGCUUGAGCAGAAAGACUUGGGGAGGGGAUCCUCAGCUUUUGUGGUAGAGCAUUACUACUCUUGGUUGGAUGCUGUCAUACUGGUUAUGUUAAAUUAAAUGUCCUUGUUCUCCACCUCUGUUCACACCUUGGAGACCAAAUAUUGCACACAAAAUUGGAGGGCUCCCCAUGAGAGAACAGGGCUCAGACAAGAGGGUACAGCAAACACAGAGGACAGAGAGAAAAACCAUAAAUAAAAGAUCAGUGUGGGGUUUCAUGCAGAGAUCUCCAUCUACAUUUUUAUAUUUCUAUCUGACAGUAGCUCUUCCUGUUCAGCAAAUUCACCUCACCUCAUCGUUCCCAGACCUGACAUGUAACGAAACCAAUUAAAAUACUUGUUAACUUAAAUAAAUAAACAGAGACAUGCAGAAG
This is a long non-coding RNA of Prinia subflava (tawny-flanked prinia), 9232 nucleotides long. RefSeq lists it as uncharacterized. Lineage: Eukaryota; Metazoa; Chordata; Aves; Passeriformes; Cisticolidae. The transcript is spliced from 3 exons. The record is from RefSeq and is a predicted model, not a curated record.